UGCCCAGCAGCUCCUGUCCCUACCUCCGCGUGGUUCCGGCUGGAAAUUAUGAGCUACCUUAGGGAAGAUCGGGUAACCAACCCCGAUGGGAACUUUGAUCGUAGGCUGACAAGGAAGG
Non-coding RNA from Aedes albopictus (Asian tiger mosquito), 118 nucleotides. Lineage: Eukaryota; Metazoa; Arthropoda; Insecta; Diptera; Culicidae. The record is from Rfam.